RNAcentral lists this ribosomal RNA (253 nucleotides) under uncultured bacterium. RNAcentral's name for it is "partial 16S ribosomal RNA". It matches the Rfam family "Bacterial small subunit ribosomal RNA", at positions 524 to 776 of the family's 1533-position model. The record is from RNAcentral.
UACGGGGGGGGCAAGCGUUGUUCGGAAUUACUGGGCGUAAAGGGCUCGUAGGCGGCCAACUAAGUCAUACGUGAAAUCCCCCGGCUUAACCGGGGAACUGCGUCUGAUACUGGAUGGCUUGAGUUCGGGAGAGGGAUGCGGAAUUCCAGGUGUAGCGGUGAAAUGCGUAGAUAUCUGGAGGAAUACCGGUGGCGAAGGCGGCAUCCUGGACCGGCAUUGACGCUGAGGAGCGAAAGCUAGGGGAGCAAACAGG